GUUUCACUUUGCUGGUUGCUGUACAGACCGCUACCAUGCUGGCUGGCUAGGUUGCUCUAUUUCUAAAAUGAUCCAGGAAGAAGUGUUUACAAUGUAAUGCUAUUUUGGCAGAGCAUGAAGAAGAAAUGGCAUAUGGAAAAAACGAACUUAGAAAACCAUAGCUCAUAAUGAAGGUGCCGAAUAUUGAAGAUCUUGAUGAAAAGUUGGAAGAUUGAGCCAGCAUAAAUCAAUGCAUGCAUCCAGAAGCCUGCAGGUGGGAGGAAGAGCAGAGAGCUUGUGCAGUGUGAUUACACUGUAUUUGAAAGUCGACAAGGACCCCACCUCCACUCUGUACUCCUCCCAUUCGGAUCUAUUGUCAGGACUUGCCUUAUGCUAUGAGAAACAAUUUGAGACUCAGGGUGACAAUAGAAUAUAAUCAGAGAUCAAGAUUUUUUUUUAUUAGAUGUUUGUGUUUACAAGGAAAGGUGAAUCUGCAUUAGAUCCUAUAAUUUUUUUAUUUGUUGUUUGCUUUUUG
Molecule: long non-coding RNA, 514 nt
Filed under: Cricetulus griseus (Chinese hamster)
Lineage: Eukaryota; Metazoa; Chordata; Mammalia; Rodentia; Cricetidae
Description: lncRNA (ENSCGRG00015036758.1)
Source: RNAcentral